UAGGGAAUCUUCCACAAUGGGCGAAAGCCUGAUGGAGCAACGCCGCGUGUGUGAUGAAGGCUUUCGGGUCGUAAAGCACUGUUGUAUGGGAAGAACAGCUAGAAUAGGGAAUGAUUUUAGUUUGACGGUACCGUNCCAGAAA
RNAcentral lists this ribosomal RNA (142 nucleotides) under uncultured Lactococcus sp. RNAcentral's name for it is "partial 16S ribosomal RNA". It matches the Rfam family "Bacterial small subunit ribosomal RNA", at positions 355 to 489 of the family's 1533-position model. The record is from RNAcentral. Lineage: Bacteria; Bacillati; Bacillota; Bacilli; Lactobacillales; Streptococcaceae.